GCAAGUCGAGCGCUACCUUCGGGUGGAGCGGCGGACGGGUUAGUAACGCGUGGGAACGUACCCAGAUCUAAGGAAUAGCCAUUGGAAACGAUGAGUAAUACCAUAUACGCCCUUCGGGGGAAAGAUUUAUCGGAGAAGGAUCAGCCCGCGUUAGAUUAGAUAGUUGGUGGGGUAAUGGCCUACCAAGUCUACGAUCUAUAGCUGGUUUUAGAGGAUGAUC
This 220-nucleotide ribosomal RNA is filed under the name uncultured bacterium. RNAcentral describes it as "partial 16S ribosomal RNA". It matches the Rfam family "Bacterial small subunit ribosomal RNA", at positions 57 to 305 of the family's 1533-position model. The record is from RNAcentral.